Molecule: ribosomal RNA, 1489 nt
Filed under: Companilactobacillus crustorum
Lineage: Bacteria; Bacillati; Bacillota; Bacilli; Lactobacillales; Lactobacillaceae
Description: bacterial SSU rRNA
Rfam family: Bacterial small subunit ribosomal RNA
Source: RNAcentral
GACGAACGCUGGCGGCAUGCCUAAUACAUGCAAGUCGAACGAACCAUCCUGAAGAUUGAAGCUUGCUUCAUGAUUCAGACCUUGGUGAGUGGCGGACGGGUGAGUAACACGUGGGUAACCUGCCCAAAAGUGGGGGAUAACAUCUGGAAACAGGUGCUAAUACCGCAUAACAACUACUUUCACAUGAUCGUAGCUUGAAAGAUGGCUCUGCUAUCGCUUUUGGAUGGACCCGCGGCGUAUUAGCUAGUUGGUGAGGUAAUAGCUCACCAAGGCAAUGAUACGUAGCCGACCUGAGAGGGUAAUCGGCCACAUUGGGACUGAGACACGGCCCAAACUCCUACGGGAGGCAGCAGUAGGGAAUCUUCCACAAUGGGCGAAAGCCUGAUGGAGCAAUGCCGCGUGAGUGAAGAAGGUUUUCGGAUCGUAAAACUCUGUUGUUGAAGAAGAACAUGCGUGAGAGUAACUGUUCACGUACUGACGGUAUUCAACCAGAAAGCCACGGCUAACUACGUGCCAGCAGCCGCGGUAAUACGUAGGUGGCAAGCGUUGUCCGGAUUUAUUGGGCGUAAAGAGAAUGUAGGCGGUUUAUUAAGUUUGAAGUGAAAGCCCUCGGCUCAACCGAGGAAGUGCUUCGAAAACUGGUAAACUUGAGUGCAGAAGAGGAAAGUGGAACUCCAUGUGUAGCGGUGGAAUGCGUAGAUAUAUGGAAGAACACCAGUGGCGAAGGCGGCUUUCUGGUCUGUAACUGACGCUGAGAUUCGAAAGCAUGGGUAGCAAACAGGAUUAGAUACCCUGGUAGUCCAUGCCGUAAACGAUGAGUGCUAAGUGUUGGAGGGUUUCCGCCCUUCAGUGCUGCAGCUAACGCAUUAAGCACUCCGCCUGGGGAGUACGAUCGCAAGAUUGAAACUCAAAGGAAUUGACGGGGGCCCGCACAAGCGGUGGAGCAUGUGGUUUAAUUCGAAGCAACGCGAAGAACCUUACCAGGUCUUGACAUACCAUGAAAAGCUAAGAGAUUAGUCUUUCCCUUCGGGGACAUGGAUACAGGUGGUGCAUGGUUGUCGUCAGCUCGUGUCGUGAGAUGUUGGGUUAAGUCCCGCAACGAGCGCAACCCUUAUUAUCAGUUGCCAGCAUUCAGUUGGGCACUCUGGUGAGACUGCCGGUGACAAACCGGAGGAAGGUGGGGACGACGUCAAAUCAUCAUGCCCCUUAUGACCUGGGCUACACACGUGCUACAAUGGUCGGUACAACGUGCUGCGAACUCGCGAGGGUAAGCAAAUCACUUAAAACCGAUCUCAGUUCGGAUUGUAGGCUGCAACUCGCCUACAUGAAGCUGGAAUCGCUAGUAAUCGCGGAUCAGCAUGCCGCGGUGAAUACGUUCCCGGGCCUUGUACACACCGCCCGUCACACCAUGAGAGUUUGUAACACCCAAAGUCGGUGGGGUAACCCUUCGGGGAACUAGCCGCCUAAGGUGGGACAAAUGAUUAGGGUG